RNAcentral lists this ribosomal RNA (508 nucleotides) under uncultured bacterium. RNAcentral's name for it is "bacterial SSU rRNA". It matches the Rfam family "Bacterial small subunit ribosomal RNA", at positions 29 to 507 of the family's 1533-position model. The record is from RNAcentral.
ACGAACGCUGGCGGCGUGCUUAACACAUGCAAGUCGAACGAGAAGAGAUGAGAAGCUUGCUUCUUAUCAAUUCGAGUGGCAAACGGGUGAGUAACGCGUAAGCAACCUGCCCUUCAGAUGGGGACAACAGCUGGAAACGGCUGCUAAUACCGAAUACGUUCUUUUUGUCGCAUGGCAGAGGGAAGAAAGGGAGGCUCUUCGGAGCUUUCGCUGAAGGAGGGGCUUGCGUCUGAUUAGCUAGUUGGAGGGGUAACGGCCCACCAAGGCGACGAUCAGUAGCCGGUCUGGGAGGAUGAACGGCCACAUUGGGACUGAGACACGGCCCAGACUCCUACGGGAGGCAGCAGUGGGGAAUCUUCCGCAAUGGACGAAAGUCUGACGGAGCAACGCCGCGUGAACGAUGACGGCCUUCGGGUUGUAAAGUUCUGUUAUACGGGACGAAUGGCGUAGCGGUCAAUACCCGUUACGAGUGACGGUACCGUAAGAGAAAGCCACGGCUAACUACGUG